GAUGAACGCUAGCGGCAGGCUUAACACGUGCAAGUCGAGGGGCAGCGCGGGAUAGCAAUAUCCUGGCGGCGACCGGCGGAAGGGUGCGUAACGCGUGAGCGACAUGCCCGUUGCCCGGGGACAACCGGUGGAAACGCCGACUAAUCCCCGAUGGGAUAUUGUGCCGCAUGGCACGAUAUUGAAAGUUACGGCGGCGACGGAUUGGCUCGCGUCCGAUUAGCUUGUUGGCGGGGUAACGGCCCACCAAGGCUGCGAUCGGUAGGGGUUCUGAGAGGAAGGCCCCCCACAAUGGGACUGAGACACGGCCCAUACUCCUACGGGAGGCAGCAGUGAGGAAUAUUGGUCAAUGGGCGGAAGCCUGAACCAGCCAUGCCGCGUGCGGGAAGGAGGCCCUAUGGGCUGUGAACCGCUUUUGCCUGGGGGCAAUAAGGGCGUCGCGCACGUCCGAUGAGAGUACCAGGCGAAUAAGCAUCGGCUAACUCCGUG
Molecule: ribosomal RNA, 486 nt
Filed under: uncultured bacterium
Lineage: Bacteria
Description: partial 16S ribosomal RNA
Rfam family: Bacterial small subunit ribosomal RNA
Source: RNAcentral